UCCCUGGUGGCUCAGCUGGUAAAGAAUCCACCUGCAAUGUGGGAGACCUGGGUUCGAUCCCCAGGUUGGGAA
Molecule: transfer RNA, 72 nt
Filed under: Ovis aries (sheep)
Lineage: Eukaryota; Metazoa; Chordata; Mammalia; Artiodactyla; Bovidae
Rfam family: tRNA
About the family: Transfer RNA (tRNA) molecules are approximately 80 nucleotides in length.
Source: Rfam by way of RNAcentral